GAUGAACGCUGGCGGCGUGCCUAAUACAUGCAAGUCGAGCGAACAGACGAGGAGCUUGCUCCUCUGACGUUAGCGGCGGACGGGUGAGUAACACGUGGAUAACCUACCUAUAAGACUGGGAUAACUUCGGGAAACCGGAGCUAAUACCGGAUAAUAUAUUGAACCGCAUGGUUCAAUAGUGAAAGACGGUUUUGCUGUCACUUAUAGAUGGAUCCGCGCCGCAUUAGCUAGUUGGUAAGGUAACGGCUUACCCAGGCGACGAUGCGUAGCCGACCUGAAAGGGUGAUCGGACACACUGGAACUGAGACACGGUCCAGACUCCGACGGGAGGCAGCAGUAGGGAAUCUUCCGCGAUGGGCGAAAGCCUGACGGAGCAAAGCCGCGUGAGUGAUGAAGGUCUUCGGAUCGUAAAACUCUGUUAUUAGGGAAGAACAAAUGUGUAAGUAACUAUGCACGUCUUGACGGUACCUAAUCAGAAAGCCACGGCUAACUACGUG
Molecule: ribosomal RNA, 497 nt
Filed under: uncultured bacterium
Lineage: Bacteria
Description: partial 16S ribosomal RNA
Rfam family: Bacterial small subunit ribosomal RNA
Source: RNAcentral